This 464-nucleotide ribosomal RNA is filed under the name uncultured Rhodocyclaceae bacterium. RNAcentral describes it as "partial 16S ribosomal RNA". It matches the Rfam family "Bacterial small subunit ribosomal RNA", at positions 338 to 794 of the family's 1533-position model. Lineage: Bacteria; Pseudomonadati; Pseudomonadota; Betaproteobacteria; Rhodocyclales; Rhodocyclaceae. The record is from RNAcentral.
CCUACGGGAGGCAGCAGUGGAGAAUUUUGGACAAUGGGGGAAACCCUGAUCCAGCCAUUCCGCGUGAGUGAAGAAGGCCUUCGGGUUGUAAAGCUCUUUCGGCAGGAACGAAACGGCGGACUCUAACAUAGUCUGUCAAUGACGGUACCUGAAGAAGAAGCACCGGCUAACUACGUGCCAGCAGCCGCGGUAAUACGUAGGGUGCGAGCGUUAAUCGGAAUUACUGGGCGUAAAGCGUGCGCAGGCGGCUUUGUAAGACGGAUGUGAAAUCCCUGGGCUUAACCUAGGAACUGCGUUCGUGACUGCAAAGCUAGAGUGCGGCAGAGGGGGGUGAAAUUCCUGGUGUAGCAGUGAAAUGCGUAGAGAUCGGGAGGACCACCAGUGGCGAGGGCGGCGUCCGGGCCGACACCUGACGCGGAAGCGCGAAAGCGUGGGGAGCGAACGGGAUUAGAUCCCCCGGUAGU